CCUACGGGAGGCAGCAGUGAGGAAUAUUGGUCAAUGGACGGAAGUCUGAACCAGCCAUGCCGCGUGCAGGAAGACGGCUCUAUGAGUUGUAAACUGCUUUUGUACAAGGGUAAACCUGAAUACGUGUAUUCAGCUGAAAGUACUUUACGAAUAAGGAUCGGCUAACUCCGUGCCAGCAGCCGCGGUAAUACGGAGGAUCCAAGCGUUAUCCGGAUUUAUUGGGUUUAAAGGGUGCGUAGGCGGAUUGAUAAGUUAGAGGUGAAAGGUUCGAGCUUAACUCGGGAACUGCCUCUAAUACUGUUGAUCUAGAGAGUAGAUGCGGUAGGCGGAAUGUAUGGUGUAGCGGUGAAAUGCUUAGAGAUCAUACAGAACACCGAUUGCGAAGGCAGCUUACCAAUCUAUAUCUGACGUUGAGGCACGAAAGCGUGGGGAGCAAACAGGAUUAGAUACCCCAGUAGUC
RNAcentral lists this ribosomal RNA (460 nucleotides) under uncultured bacterium. Its description in RNAcentral is "partial 16S ribosomal RNA". It matches the Rfam family "Bacterial small subunit ribosomal RNA", at positions 338 to 795 of the family's 1533-position model. The record is from RNAcentral.